UCAGGAUGAACGCUAGCUACAGGCUUAACACAUGCAAGUCGAGGGGCAGCAUUUCAGUUUGCUUGCAAACUGGAGAUGGCGACCGGCGCACGGGUGAGUAACACGUAUCCAACCUGCCGAUAACUCGGGGAUAGCCUUUCGAAAGAAAGAUUAAUACCCGAUGGUAUAAUCAGACCGCAUGGUCUUGUUAUUAAAGAAUUUCGGUUAUCGAUGGGGAUGCGUUCCAUUAGGCAGUUGGUGAGGUAACGGCUCACCAAACCUUCGAUGGAUAGGGGUUCUGAGAGGAAGGUCCCCCACAUUGGAACUGAGACACGGUCCAAACUCCUACGGGAGGCAGCAGUGAGGAAUAUUGGUCAAUGGGCGCAGGCCUGAACCAGCCAAGUAGCGUGAAGGAUGACUGCCCUAUGGGUUGUAAACUUCUUUUAUAUGGGAAUAAAGUUUUCCACGUGUGGAAUUUUGUAUGUACCAUAUGAAUAAGGAUCGGCUAACUCCGUGCCAGCAGCCGCGGUAAUACGGAGGAUCCGAGCGUUAUCCGGAUUUAUUGGGUUUAAAGGGAGCGUAGGUGGACAGUUAAGUCAGUUGUGAAAGUUUGCGGCUCAACCGUAAAAUUGCAGUUGAUACUGGCUGUCUUGAGUACAGUAGAGGUGGGCAGAAUUCGUGGUGUAGCGGUGAAAUGCUUAGAUAUCACGAAGAACUCCGAUUGCGAAGGCAGCUCACUGGACUGCAACUGACACUGAUGCUCGAAAGUGUGGGUAUCAAACAGGAUUAGAUACCCUGGUAGUCCACACAGUAAACGAUGAAUACUCGCUGUUUGCGAUAUACAGUAAGCGGCCAAGCGAAAGCAUUAAGUAUUCCACCUGGGGAGUACGCCGGCAACGGUGAAACUCAAAGGAAUUGACGGGGGCCCGCACAAGCGGAGGAACAUGUGGUUUAAUUCGAUGAUACGCGAGGAACCUUACCCGGGCUUAAAUUGCAUUUGAAUAUAUUGGAAACAGUAUAGCCGUAAGGCAAAUGUGAAGGUGCUGCAUGGUUGUCGUCAGCUCGUGCCGUGAGGUGUCGGCUUAAGUGCCAUAACGAGCGCAACCCUUAUCUUUAGUUACUAACAGGUCAUGCUGAGGACUCUAGAGAGACUGCCGUCGUAAGAUGUGAGGAAGGUGGGGAUGACGUCAAAUCAGCACGGCCCUUACGUCCGGGGCUACACACGUGUUACAAUGGGGGGUACAGAAGGCAGCUACCUGGUGACAGGAUGCUAAUCCCAAAAGCCUCUCUCAGUUCGGAUCGAAGUCUGCAACCCGACUUCGUGAAGCUGGAUUCGCUAGUAAUCGCGCAUCAGCCAUGGCGCGGUGAAUACGUUCCCGGGCCUUGUACACACCGCCCGUCAAGCCAUGAAAGCCGGGGGUACCUGAAGUACGUAACCGCAAGGAGCGUCCUAGGGUAAAACUGGU
RNAcentral lists this ribosomal RNA (1445 nucleotides) under uncultured organism. Its description in RNAcentral is "16S ribosomal RNA". It matches the Rfam family "Bacterial small subunit ribosomal RNA". The record is from RNAcentral.